UACGGAGGGGGCUAGCGUUGUUCGGAAUUACUGGGCGUAAAGCGCGCGUAGGCGGCUUUGUAAGUUAGAGGUGAAAGCCCGGAGCUCAACUCCGGAACUGCCUUUAAGACUGCAUCGCUAGAAUUGUGGAGAGGUAAGCGGAAUUCCGAGUGUAGAGGUGAAAUUCGUAGAUAUUCGGAAGAACACCAGUGGCGAAGGCGACUUACUGGACACAUAUUGACGCUGAGGUGCGAAAGCGUGGGGAGCAAACAGG
RNAcentral lists this ribosomal RNA (253 nucleotides) under uncultured bacterium. Its description in RNAcentral is "partial 16S ribosomal RNA". It matches the Rfam family "Bacterial small subunit ribosomal RNA", at positions 524 to 776 of the family's 1533-position model. The record is from RNAcentral.